AGCCUGCCCAGUGACUAAGUUAAACGGCCGCGGUACCCUAACCGUGCAAAGGUAGCGCAAUCACUUGUUCUUUAAAUGAGGACUAGUAUGAACGGCAUCACGAGGGUUACACUGUCUCCCUAUUCCAUUCAGUGAAACUGAUCUUCCCGUGAAGAAGCGGGAAUAUAAAUAUAAGACGAGAAGACCCCAUGGAGCUUUAAACUCAGUGUCAUCUGCCACUUCAAUACCCUCUUAAUUACGCAGACCAUGAUAACUAGUUUUCGGUUGGGGUGACCGCGGAGUAAAACAAAACCUCCACAACGAAAGGAACUAACAACCUAAUCCAAGAGCAACAUCUCUAAGAAUCAACAAAUUGACUUAAUUGAUCCAAUUACUUGAUCAACGAACCAAGUUACCCUGGGGAUAACAGCGCAAUCCAUUUCAAGAGCUCAUAUCGACAAAUGGGUUUACGACCUCGAUGUUGGAUCAGGGUAUCCCAGUGGCGCAGCAGCUACUAACGGUUCGUUUGUUCAACGAUUAAA
Molecule: ribosomal RNA, 521 nt
Filed under: Microhyla nilphamariensis
Lineage: Eukaryota; Metazoa; Chordata; Amphibia; Anura; Microhylidae
Description: partial 16S ribosomal RNA
Rfam family: Bacterial large subunit ribosomal RNA
Source: RNAcentral